AUAUCAGCUGGUUCAUCAGUUUCUUGUGGUGGAAUCUGUCUAUCCGUGUUCAAGUUUCCGACUUGACAUAGGUGCUCAUAUUUUUCUGAAUUUAUUUUAGGAUUUUACGACGUUAUGUUUUUAGUGGUAGGUGGACGUGUCCGUCGACAGCGAUGCGCCUGUGCUCAUAGAGGUAGGUUGUUGUGCGUGCGUGCGUUGUGAACGUGCGCUUAUGUUAUAAGGGUCUACGUCUAGGUCUCACAGAAAAAAAAAGUCCUCUCGGCCAACCGGUUCCCUUUACCCACUGAUGAGCAGUGCCGAGCACCUCUACCCAUAGCAAUAUCGAGGAAGGCUACAAUGUGUGAUGAGGACAUCCCUAGCAUUCAUUCAUCUUCAAAUGAAACUCCACUUGAUAUAAGUGGUC
Molecule: long non-coding RNA, 403 nt
Filed under: Sorghum bicolor (sorghum)
Lineage: Eukaryota; Viridiplantae; Streptophyta; Magnoliopsida; Poales; Poaceae
Description: long non-coding RNA (SBIC_LNC009578)
Source: RNAcentral